CGGUUCCUCUGCUCUGGAGACCAGAACACCUAGAAAACGCCAAAUUCAUCCAAAAUUCUCCAAAACUGCAUUCUUCUAUCUCGAAAGCCUAAAUCUCCUGCAAAGCAUAAAAUACACCAUAAACGCACCAAUUUCCAGAAGAUUAUCUUAAAACAUGCACAUGCAAACCCUUAAAAAUAGAGUAAAUUAAGCAUAAAUCACCUUUGGGAUUCGAACUCAGGACCACGAAGAUAUGAGUAGCACCUAUCAAAUCAUUUAAGNCUAGAGAAAUGAUGAUUUCUCUGGCAUGUUGAUUUCUCUGGCGAGACUUCGCUGCUCUGGAGAUGUCGGCUCCGCUCCUCUGCAUUCCGCGGAUUUCUCUGGACUGGCUUUUGAUUCCUCUAGCGCUUCGAUUCCUCUGACGCCAGAGGAAUGGUGAUUUCUCUGCUAUGGAGAUGUCGGUUCUUCUGCUCUGGAGACCAGAACACCUAGAAAACGCCAAAUUCAUCUAAAAUUCUCCAAAAUUGCAUUCUUUCAUCUCGAAAGCCUAAAUCUCCUGCAAAGCAUAGAAUACACCAUAAAACGCACCAAAUUCCAGAAGAUUAUCUUAAAAUACGCACAUACAAACCCUUAAAAAUAGAGUAAAUUAAGCAUAAAUCA
RNAcentral lists this long non-coding RNA (639 nucleotides) under Salvia miltiorrhiza (redroot sage). RNAcentral's name for it is "long non-coding RNA (SMIL_LNC011417)". The record is from RNAcentral. Lineage: Eukaryota; Viridiplantae; Streptophyta; Magnoliopsida; Lamiales; Lamiaceae.